CUUGGUGUGGGCAUCACUCCCUGGAGUCAUGGUCACAGAGAGUAACAGAUUGAGAUGUGUUCUUCACCUUUGAGUUUGGAACAGUUUCAAACAGGAUAAGAGUUACAAACACAACACAGAAAUAUCUGCAACCUUUCACCCAGUGGAUUCAACAAUGCCCUUUAUGACAUGGGUGCAGUCCAGGUCAGCGAGGUAGCUGGUGUCAUUUAGCCUGGAACACAUCCUCUUCCCUCCCUGCCUUGACUUUCAUGCCCUGUCGAUUGUGAAGAUUACAGAUUGGGCCUCACUGUAUAACACUGGCUGGCCUUGGACUUUUGGUCUUCCUGUCUGGGUUUCCAGCAUGCUGAGAUUACAGUUUGCUCCACUAAACCUCCUCUCGCUCAACGAAAACAGAUCCCCAGAGUCUGAC
This 409-nucleotide long non-coding RNA is filed under the name Cricetulus griseus (Chinese hamster). RNAcentral describes it as "lncRNA (ENSCGRG00015036226.1)". The record is from RNAcentral. Lineage: Eukaryota; Metazoa; Chordata; Mammalia; Rodentia; Cricetidae.